UGUCCACCCCAGGAGAAGGUCUGUGUCUGCGUCUGUCUGGCCUGGAGAAGGGCAUGGGGGCCAGCGCUGGGGUCUCCUUUAGUGCCUCUGUUCCUGGAGUCACCUCAUGCCCGAGGAUCUCGGCUUUCUGAAAAGGGACAGUGAGUUUCCAGCCCCUUUAAUGGGGCAAGAAAAUGGGGCCUGUUGCGUACUCCAAAGUUUCACGUGUGAGAAGACAAAUACAACAAACCCCAAAUUUCCUAAUUACAGAUCCUUGUGUUUUCUGAGGUGCGGUUGUAUUCAUUUUAGCACUCCAAGCUGACAACCCAGGCCCCCGCGCAUCAUGGGAUUGCCUUAAAAAAAAAACAUGAGGCUUUUAAAUGAAGAAAAGAAUUAAUUGCUUCAUAUAGUAGCACAGAGGCUUGUGCCGUGCUCUGCAUAAGUAUUGUGGAAACUCAUUGUGUAUCCCAAAUAAUUUGGUGUAGCAAAGGGAUAGCAUUCCUACUGUUGUGGUGUUUUAAAAGUACUUUGGUCACCUCUUCAAGGUUUUCUCGCAAGAGUUGGAAGUGCUGAAAUAAGCUGCGUAGAAGUUUAUCAGCUCUUUGUUGGGAAUGCGUGACUUGGACCACUGCUGUCGGUGCUGGCACAUGGUUUACAAAGUUGGGCACUUGUUGGCAAUGUCAGCAGAAGGCCAAAGGCUCAGUGUGGUUUACUGGGAUGAGGAGGUUUCUGAGAGGCUGUAAUCCCUGCUCCCCUCCACCCAACGGGGCUGAAGCUGUGCUCUGAAUCCCAGCCAAACUGGGGCUGCCCCCGGCUCUGAGUUUAGACUGCUGCCUUUUCACUUGGUAGGCAGGAGACUGAAUCUUUGGGGUCGUCAGCCCAGCACGUGGGGUUGGAUUGGGUACCGUGUAAUCCUCCCUCUUCUCCUGUUUACUCCCCCAGGCCUUCGACAGCAAGGGUGGCACUUCCUGGAGCAAAUGAGACCACUAGUUAUGAUGGAGCAGAGAUGAGUGGACCCGGAGCACCGAGGGCUGCGUGCUUGUGAGCUGGCUGGUAUUUUGGCAUCGCCCAACACUGCAGUUCUGGUCACGGGAGCUGUGCUUUGUGAGCCUUGUACCCACUUAUGGAAAACCAGGCAUGGAGCAGAGCUGCUAAAGCACUGGCUGUGGUUGUGCAGUCACUGCAGCAUGCUAUAAAUCCAGCUGAUGAUGACAGGGACACUCCAAACCCUCCGUACUAUUUAUUCCCUCUGUGGCUGCUGGGUCUCGGCGAGCAGAGGUGUUGCUGCUCUGCUGUUUGCAGCCCGUGAGAGGGCAGCACAAGGCCGCCGGUUGUUGGCUGGGGGUUUUCAGGUGGUGAAAUUGGGCAUCGUUAAUAGUGCGUUGAGAGCAGCAUCGCCCGAUGGAGCCAAUCCUCUGAAACUUCUUCUGAAGCAAUGUGUGAAUGUUUGCUUAAAUCUUGCCCCGGAGCAUCCUCAUUCCAGUGACUAAUGUGUGAAACUGACCAGGAGUAGAAUGAAAAGUUAUUCACUCUGCUUUUUCCUGCGGAUGAAAAGUGCAAUGAACAUUGACCCUUGCUGCAUUUCUGCAGGAGACUGAAAAUCCUUCAUCUUCAUACUGGGCAGGAUCUGUAUCUCUGUCGUCAUUCUGCAGCAUGGCCAGUACUGAUUGCUCUAGAAUAUCAGCUCUUCAGCGAUCAUGGCUGAGUAAUACAGAACUUGCUUUUCCUGGGAUAAUCCAUAGAGAUGGAUGUUGGGCAAUGAAAAUGCAAAAGGAAGCCAGGAUCAUGUGAUUGUGUUGGACCAGGAGAAGGAAAGGGAUCCACAGGGCCCUGCCAGCCCUCCUUGUUUGGGGCAGAAUGAACAGGCUUGCAGGGCUUGCAGGCAUUUGAGCUGUGUCCUGGCCCUCACUGCUUCCUCUGAAGGAAGAUGAGCAUAGCAGAGCAGGAACUUCACCGGUCCAGAGGACUUGCACAUGGAGAGUGCGAGUUUCACUGUUUUUGUGGAAAGGCAAUGACGCUGUGACUUUUGCCAAGACUUGCCAGCUGUGAGAAUGAAAGACUUCCUGUAAAGAGCAGUCCUGAGAGCCACCGGCAUGUCCUGUGGACAACUGAGCAGCUUUGAGACAGGGGACAGCUUUGAAGUCAUUGAGGACUGGGAAAGCUACUGGUUGGGCAUGGUGAGUGAAUUCAGAAGAACGUAACAAGGUGAAUUAAACACCCACUAUUCUUUGCUUGGGGGAGAUUUUAAGCAGGGUUGACAUCUUUAUCCCUUCUCUUGAGGCAGCUCAGGCAAAAAGAAGAGAUGCAAAUCAGUGUUAACUUGGGUGUUUCCUCCCUUUGAUCGUUCUGAGUCACUCAACCUUCAUGUUCUUCUCUUGCUUCUUGGCAAGUGGCAUGUCCAAUGGGGUGAACAGUUCAGCUGCUAGCAUUAGGGGUAGUUUUGGUUGUCCCAGUGCCCUAAGAAAA
Molecule: long non-coding RNA, 2445 nt
Organism: Aquila chrysaetos chrysaetos
Lineage: Eukaryota; Metazoa; Chordata; Aves; Accipitriformes; Accipitridae
Exons: 5
Source: RefSeq, a predicted model, not a curated record